UUUUUUGUCGCGAUCGUUUUUUACAUCCGUUAUUAGACCGUGGCAACGCGGAACAGAAAUGUCACCCACACAUUUUCUAGAGGGGCUGUUUAAAGCGGAACACAACAGUGCGUAGAACAUGCAUCUGCAGGUUUUUCUCUACUCAGAAGUUGGUGGAAGUUUUGCGCGAAUAUUAUAGUUGAAGACUUCAAGCAAAGAAGGAAAUAUAGAGAUAUCAGCAAAUCCCGGGAAGAACCACCGGUGCAGCCAAUGAUGAAUAUAUACCCAAGGACUCUGAUGGGGGACCGGAGGAGGAGCUUCAAGGCAGCCUGGUACCAUAUCCACCCCUGGCUUGAAUAUUCCAAACAAUCAGACUCUGUGUUUUGUUAUGCCUGCAGGCAUUUUAGCCUUCCCAAAGUCUCAGAGUCUGCAGAGUCAGAUAAUAAAGGGAACUUCAUGGCAAUUUAGAAACAAUAGCUAAGCAUGAUAAAACUGUGCAAAAAAGGUUGACUUCCAUUCAUAAUGCAAAAUAUACCAGCAAAGGGAUUCAGAAUGAGGUUCUGAGUUGUUUGGCAGACAUGGUUCGAACUAAAAUUAUAGAAGAAGUGAAAGACAGUGAGGUCUAUAGCAUAAUGGCAGAUGAAACAAAAGAUGUAAAAAAGAAGGAGCAGAUAUCUCUAGUACUCAGGUACUAUUUCAGUGGAGCUGUCCAUGAGAGCUUUCUCCACUUUGAAUCGCCUGAUCGACUAGAUGCAGCAGGGCUUACUGACAAAAUCAUACACAUAUUAGUAAGUCAUGGUCUUGAAUACAAAAACAACCUAGUAGGCCAAGCUUAUGACGGUGCUUCAGUUAUGAGCGGGACGCAUUCAGGUGUCCAGGCACGCAUUAAAGAACAAGCAAAGCAUGCUUUUUACAUCCACUGCAAUGCACACUGUCUGAAUUUAGUUUUAGUGGAUACAGUCAAAGCUAUCCCUGAGGUAAUAUAAUUAAAAUGCAAUUACAGUUACUGUGACAUACAGAAUAUGUAAUGCAAAAUAUAAAAAUGAUUAAAAUGCAAAUAGUUACUGUGACUGAUACUGAAUAUGUAAUGCAAAUGGAAAAAUAAAAUGGAAAUGCAAUUACAGUUACUGUGACUAAUACUGAAUAUGUAAUGCAAAUGUAAAAAAUUAAAUGGAAAUGCAA
Molecule: long non-coding RNA, 1161 nt
Organism: Esox lucius (northern pike)
Lineage: Eukaryota; Metazoa; Chordata; Actinopteri; Esociformes; Esocidae
Source: Ensembl